Long non-coding RNA from Maniola jurtina (meadow brown), 74 nucleotides. RefSeq lists it as uncharacterized. The transcript is spliced from 3 exons. NCBI's taxonomy places the organism in Eukaryota, Metazoa, Arthropoda, Insecta, Lepidoptera, Nymphalidae. The record is from RefSeq and is a predicted model, not a curated record.
UCUGGGAGAAAAGCGUAAGCAAAGCGAUUUGCCCGGUGUUUUAGACCUUUUUGAGGUACUUCACUCUAUCAUGA